Molecule: ribosomal RNA, 27 nt
Filed under: Idiosoma sp. SAM SH21
Lineage: Eukaryota; Metazoa; Arthropoda; Arachnida; Araneae; Idiopidae
Also listed under: 8 other names
Description: Aganippe sp. SAM SH21 partial 28S ribosomal RNA
Source: RNAcentral
UCGACCUCAGAUCAGACGAGAUGACCC